Molecule: ribosomal RNA, 771 nt
Filed under: Borreliella garinii
Lineage: Bacteria; Pseudomonadati; Spirochaetota; Spirochaetia; Spirochaetales; Borreliaceae
Description: bacterial SSU rRNA
Rfam family: Bacterial small subunit ribosomal RNA
Source: RNAcentral
GCUGGCAGUGCGUCUUAAGCAUGCAAGUCAAACGGGAUGUAGCAAUACAUCUAGUGGCGAACGGGUGAGUAACGCGUGGAUGAUCUACCUACGAGAUGGGGAUAACUAUUAGAAAUAGUAGCUAAUACCGAAUAAAGUCAAUUAAUUUGUUGAUUGAUGAAAGGAAGCCUUUAAAGCUUCGCUUGUAGAUGAGUCUGCGUCUUAUUAGUUAGUUGGUAGGGUAAAUGCCUACCAAGGCGAUGAUAAGUAACCGGCCUGAGAGGGUGAACGGUCACACUGGAACUGAGAUACGGUCCAGACUCCUACGGGAGGCAGCAGCUAAGAAUCUUCCGCAAUGGGCGAAAGCCUGACGGAGCGACACUGCGUGAAUGAAGAAGGUCGAAAGAUUGUAAAAUUCUUUUAUAAAUGAGGAAUAAGCUUUGUAGGAAAUGACGAAGUGAUGACGUUAAUUUAUGAAUAAGCCCCGGCUAAUUACGUGCCAGCAGCCGCGGUAAUACGUAAGGGGCGAGCGUUGUUCGGGAUUAUUGGGCGUAUAGGGUGAGUAGGCGGAUAUAUAAGUCUAUGCAUAAAAUACCACAGCUCAACUGUGGAACUAUGUUAGAAACUAUAUGUCUAGAGUCUGAUAGAGGAAGUUAGAAUUUCUGGUGUAAGGGUGGAAUCUGUUGAUAUCAGAAAGAAUACCGGAGGCGAAGGCGAACUUCUGGGUCAAGACUGACGCUGAGUCACGAAAGCGUAGGGAGCAAACAGGAUUAGAUACCCUGGUAGUCUACG